GCCCGUUCUCAGGGCGGGGCGGAAUUCCCCACCGGCGGUAAGUGGGGAAACCUGCAAGCCCGCGAGCGCCUCUCGCGUUGAGAGGGUCAAGCAGAUCAGGUGCGAUUCCUGAGCCGACGGUCAAAGUCCGGAUGAAAGAGAAUAUGU
This 147-nucleotide non-coding RNA is filed under the name Marivita hallyeonensis. Its description in RNAcentral is "FMN sequence". It matches the Rfam family "FMN riboswitch aptamer (RFN element)". Rfam says of the family: The RFN element is a highly conserved domain that is found frequently in the 5'-untranslated regions of prokaryotic mRNAs that encode for flavin mononucleotide (FMN) biosynthesis and transport proteins. This element is a metabolite-dependent riboswitch that directly binds FMN in the absence of proteins. In Bacillus subtilis, the riboswitch most likely controls gene expression by causing premature transcription termination within the 5' untranslated region of the ribDEAHT operon and precluding access to the ribosome-binding site of ypaA mRNA. Lineage: Bacteria; Pseudomonadati; Pseudomonadota; Alphaproteobacteria; Rhodobacterales; Roseobacteraceae. The record is from Rfam by way of RNAcentral.